AAGAAACCCAAGAUUAUGUUUGAUACGUCCUGCAGUCCUGAGGUUCCUCAUCUGGUCAAUAAAUCUUGGGUCAUGCAGUAGCAGCUUCAUCCGUGUGAAUGAACAGCUAUACCAACAUGACCAACUGCCAAUUAAAUGCUUGCAUUAUUAAGCUCCAGUGACCUUCCCUGUUUGGCAAUACUUCCUCUGUUACUGGGAAAAAGAGAAGGAGCAGGAGAGCAGGUUGGAGAGAAGGGCAGAGGAAGAGGAAGCGAGAGAAAUCUAAGCAGGUUCCAUGCCCAGUGUGGAGACCAGCUCAGGGCCUGAUCUCACCAUCCUGAGAAAAUAACGUGAGCUGAAAUCAAGCAUCAGAUGCUUAACCAACUGAGCCACCCAGAAUCCCCUGGAUAGAGGAUUUUUAUCAGAUCUAUAUUUUACAAGUAUGUUCUUCUUUCAGUUUGUAACACUCUCCUUUUAGAUGGUGUCAAGGAU
RNAcentral lists this long non-coding RNA (471 nucleotides) under Mustela putorius furo (domestic ferret). Its description in RNAcentral is "lncRNA (ENSMPUG00000025522.1)". The record is from RNAcentral. Lineage: Eukaryota; Metazoa; Chordata; Mammalia; Carnivora; Mustelidae.